GGGGGGACAGCGGAGGAGGGGGACCUAAGCAGGCUUCAGGCACCCACUUGGCUGCAGUCACCCCCAAGAUUGAAUCAGGAUAGCAAUCCAGCUAUGGCCUCUCUCAUUAGGCAGACAGGGGUCCUGGGAUGGACAGAUCAGGCCUCUCUCACUGGGCAGACAGGGGUCCUGGGAUGGACAGAUCAGGCCUCUCUCACUGGGCAGACAGGGGUCCUGGGAUGGACAGCUCAGGCCUCUCUCAUUAGGCAGACAGGGGUCCUGGGGUGGACAGCUCAGGCCUCUCUCAUUAGGCAGAUAGGGAUCCUGGGAUGGAUAGUUCAGGCCUCUCUCAUUAGGCAGACAGGGGUCCUGGGAUGGACAGCUCAGGCCUCUCUCAUUAGGCAGACAGGGGUCCUGGGAUGAACACUGGGUCACUGGGUCACUGGCUUACUGGGGCUCUCUCAUGCCGUCCCUGGAGGGGGUGCGUCACCUGAGUGGGUUGAUUCACUGUUGUGGUCAUCCUGUCUGGGUUGGUGCCCCCCCCUUGGGUUGUGCCGUGGCGGAGAUCUUUGUGGGCUAUACUCAGCCUUGUCUCAGGAUGGUAAGUUGGUGGUUGAAGAUAUCCCUCUAGUGGUGUGGGGGCUGUGCUUUGGCAAAGUGGGUGGGGUUAUAUCCUUCCUGUUUGGCCCUGUCCGGGGGUGACCUCGGAUGGGGCCACAGUGUCUCCUGACCCCUCCUGUCUCAGCCUCCAGUAUUUAUGCUGCAGUAGUUUAUGUGUCGGGGGCUGGGGUCAGUUUGUUAUAUCUGGAGUACUUCUCCUGUCCUAUUCGGUGUCCUGUGUGAAUCUAAGUGUGCGUUCUCUAAUUCUCUCCUUCUCUCUUUCUUUCUCUCUCUCGGAG
Long non-coding RNA from Oncorhynchus tshawytscha (Chinook salmon), 878 nucleotides. The record is from Ensembl. NCBI's taxonomy places the organism in Eukaryota, Metazoa, Chordata, Actinopteri, Salmoniformes, Salmonidae.